Molecule: transfer RNA, 74 nt
Filed under: Kwoniella mangroviensis CBS 8507
Lineage: Eukaryota; Fungi; Basidiomycota; Tremellomycetes; Tremellales; Cryptococcaceae
Also listed under: 2 other names
Description: tRNA-Asn (GTT) (tRNA-Asn-GTT-1-1)
Rfam family: tRNA
About the family: Transfer RNA (tRNA) molecules are approximately 80 nucleotides in length. Their secondary structure includes four short double-helical elements and three loops (D, anti-codon, and T loops).
Source: RNAcentral
UGCCCUGUGGCCAAGCUGGUUAAGGCACCCGACUGUUAAUCGGGAGAUCCACGGUUCGAUCCCGUGCGGGGCAG